This 253-nucleotide ribosomal RNA is filed under the name uncultured bacterium. RNAcentral describes it as "partial 16S ribosomal RNA". It matches the Rfam family "Bacterial small subunit ribosomal RNA", at positions 524 to 776 of the family's 1533-position model. The record is from RNAcentral.
UACGUAGGGUGCAAGCGUUGUCCGGAAUUAUUGGGCGUAAAGAGCUCGUAGGCGGUCUGUCGCGUCGGCUGUGAAAACCUAGGGCUCAACUCUGGGCUUGCAGCCGAUACGGGCAAACUAGAAUUCGGUAGGGGAGACUGGAAUUCCUGGUGUAGCGGUGAAAUGCGCAGAUAUCAGGAGGAACACCGGUGGCGAAGGCGGGUCUCUGGGCCGAUAUUGACGCUGAGGAGCGAAAGCGUGGGGAGCGAACAGG